CGGCGCACAGGUGCAGCUGCGCGCGGGAGAGAGAGAGGAAAACGCCAGCGGCCCCCUCCCUCCGGCUCACAAACCCAUCAUUAGGACAAUUUUCCUCGCGCGCAGAUCGGCAGGCCUGUGAUUUGAAUCUGUGGAUCACCUGUAAUAGUAGUUUUUAGCGCUCAUCUGAUUCCAUACAUUUAGCGCCGGCCCGGAGCCUGAGAGCGCGUUUGUGUCGCCAGCUGCAGCCGGAACUCUUUUAGCCGCUGACGCUGAUGGUUUUUACAGACCCUGUCCGUCAUAUCUCCGUUUGCGCUCGCAAUUACGCUAAUUAUUGAUUUUUUUCUUGCCGGAACAAUGACAAGGAGCCCCGGUUUCUCCGGGUGCGCAGGUUUGCCCCCGUGAUUGUCGCCUGCGUAAUUAACGGGGCGGAUCUUUAUGAUCGUCAUCUCUCUAUGGGAUGUAAACAAAUUAAACUAUUUUGACAAUAUGGCAAGGUUUCCUCCAAGACUGGACACAGUGAGUGAGUGAGUGAGUGAGUGAGUGAGUGAGUGAAUCACUACAACGCGCUCAUCUGCGGAGAAGUUUCCAAACGAGAUAAAACGUCCAACUUUGCUCUCCGUGUCCUUUGAUUUACUGCAGCCUUCAGUGAUCGAGUUCACACAGAGGUGCUGCAGCAGCAUCAUCAUCAGCAGCAGCAGUGGGAAACAAUUCUAGAGUGUGGAGUCUAACUGUUAUUGAUCGUGCGUUAUAAUUGUUAGCGAUGACUUCCUGUGUGCCACACUGGUGAAGAACACAUAAAGCUCUGAAUAUACUUAUUUAGCCAAGGCGGGGGGGUGGGGUCAUUCUGGUCAUCGGUUGUCAGGAAGAAAAAGAGAGAGAAACAAAACCAUUCGGAAGUUUGAGGUCCCCGGAGACGCUCACGCUGGGCCGCUGUCCGUGAUGCAUUAAUCAUGUCCGAAUCCUCAAGACAAAGGGCCACACGUUUCUCGUCUGCAUGUGAAAUGAUGCGACGCGGGCCUGCCACGAGGUUAAACUCUCAAACGUGCUCUUUGAUGGGCUUUAAUGAGAUGUCAGCGUCCAGACAGAUUUCUCUGCUGUCCGGUAAAAACAGGCCACAGAGCACGAAGCCUGCUUAAAAACACACCUAGAUGUGUCCCGAUCUUCCACGCGAUCACAGCGUCAGAAGUGUGACGUUCAUCAGUCAAACCGAUGCACAGAGACACUAGACUGAAACACGUCCGUCUCUGGAUCUCCUCUAAGAGCUUCACACUGAUGAACUUUAACAAAAUCUGAUUUUCUGAAGGGAUCAGUGCUUGAACUGCCACAGAUCACCUUCGUUGUUUUUAUUAGUCCUCUGUGACUGCUAUCCAGUAGGAAAAAACUAUCUAAAAAUCUUUGACACAAAUAAAUUUACUUGAGAAGAUUUUAGAUAUUGUAACUGAAAAAUAUUACAGAACUUUUGUAGUGUUUGCAGUUCUCACCACAAUCAUACAGCAGGCCUAUGUGCAAUUAUCCAAAUUAUUUAUCAUCACUUACUCUAAAGCACAUCUCAACCCUGAUGUACUUUAAUUAUAAUAAUUUAAAUAGAUCAUAUCUGUUAGCAUCAGACAUUUAUCACAUAUUAAAAUGUAAAAUAUAAUAACUUGCGAUGUCUCUUUCAAAACACUUGAGUUGAAUACGUCAGGGUCAGAGGUUGCAAAUCUUACAGCACACCACAUUAUUCACAGCCAAUAUUCUGAUUACUGUCAUUUUUCUCAUAACAGAUUAGAACUAUUACGCUUAUCAUGGAAAGAAACGUCUGAUAAAGACUGUAAGAGAAACUUACCUCUGGUUGAACCUUUGAAUGAUGUCACUUCCAUGAACUGUCUCGGAACGAUCAGAAAGAAACAUUGUAAAGGGAAAAGUCAAUAACAGGGUUGAACAGAAAGCACAGGACAGAAUAUGAACAGACACUGAAAGCAUUACAUUUUAAUUUUAAUAAAAGCAAAACUUAGGUAGAA
Long non-coding RNA from Cyprinus carpio carpio, 1982 nucleotides. NCBI's taxonomy places the organism in Eukaryota, Metazoa, Chordata, Actinopteri, Cypriniformes, Cyprinidae. The record is from Ensembl.